GUGGGGAAUAUUGCACAAUGGGGGAAACCCUGAUGCAGCAACGCCGCGUGAGUGAAGAAGGCCUUCGGGUUGUAAAGCUCUGUCUUUUGGGACGAUAAUGACGGUACCAAAGGAGGAAGCCACGGCUAACUACGUGCCAGCAGCCGCGGUAAUACGUAGGUGGCAAGCGUUGUCCGGAUUUACUGGGCGUAAAGGAUGCGUAGGUGGAUAUUUAAGUGGGAUGUGAAAUACCCGGGCUCAACUUGGGUGCUGCAUUCCAAACUGGAUAUCUAGAGUGCAGGAGAGGAAAGUGGAAUUCCUAGUGUAGCAGUGAAAUGCGUAGAUAUUAGGAGGAACACCAGUGGCGAAGGCGACUUUCUGGACUGUAACUGACACUGAGGCAUGAAAGCGUGGGGAGCAAACAGGAUUAGAUACCCGAGUAGUCC
Molecule: ribosomal RNA, 425 nt
Filed under: uncultured bacterium
Lineage: Bacteria
Description: bacterial SSU rRNA
Rfam family: Bacterial small subunit ribosomal RNA
Source: RNAcentral